RNAcentral lists this ribosomal RNA (586 nucleotides) under uncultured Gammaproteobacteria bacterium. RNAcentral's name for it is "bacterial SSU rRNA". It matches the Rfam family "Bacterial small subunit ribosomal RNA", at positions 517 to 1100 of the family's 1533-position model. Lineage: Bacteria; Pseudomonadati; Pseudomonadota; Gammaproteobacteria. The record is from RNAcentral.
GCGGUAAUACGUAGGGUGCAAGCGUCAAUCGGAAUUACUGGGCGUAAAGGGUCUGUAGGCGGAUUAUUAAGUCGGAUGUGAAAUCCCCGGGCUCAACCUGGGAACGGCAUUCGAUACUGGUAGUCUAGAGUGUGCAAGAGGAUGGGGGAAUUCCUGGUGUAGCAGUGAAAUGCGUAGAGAUCAGGAGGAACAUCAAUGGCGAAGGCACCUUUCUGGGGCAACACUGACGCUGAGAGACGAAAGCGUGGGGAGCAAACAGGAUUAGAUACCCUGGUAGUCCACGCCCUAAACGAUGUCAACUAACUGUUCGGAGUCACUAAGAUUCUGAGUAGUGAAGCUAACGCGAUAAGUUGACCGCCUGGGGAGUACGGCCGCAAGGUUGAAACUCAAAGAAAUUGACGGGGGCCCGCACAAGCGGUGGAGUAUGUGGUUUAAUUCGAUGCAACGCGAAGAACCUUACCCGGUCUUGACAUGGUAGGAAUCUUGUAGAGAUACGAGAGUGCCUUCGGGAACCCACACACAGGUGCUGCACGGCUGUCGUCAGCUCGUGUCGUGAGAUGUUGGGUUAAGUCCCGCAACGAGCGCA